Oreochromis niloticus (Nile tilapia) is the source of this 2081-nucleotide long non-coding RNA. RefSeq lists it as uncharacterized. The record is from RefSeq and is a predicted model, not a curated record. NCBI's taxonomy places the organism in Eukaryota, Metazoa, Chordata, Actinopteri, Cichliformes, Cichlidae. The transcript is spliced from 3 exons.
UAUGGCACCAUUUAUGACUCCAUAUUUAUUCAGCAGCUCAGGUUUGAAAAUUCUGGUAAAUCAUGCAACACAACUGACCGUCAUGAGCUGUGUGCGGCAGGCAAGUAUGGAGGAACCAAAAAGCAGACUCAAAGACAAAAUAAACUCAAAACUCAGCUUUAUUGCUGGGAAAGGGAAAAAUACAAAACUACACAGGGAAAUACUGGAAUCUAAACUCAUGAGCAGAACACAGAGCCAGGUAUGAGGGAGAACGCGACGCUGAGCAGAGGAAGGUGAGGGUCAACCUGACAUUGUACGAUACAUGGGAGAGACACCAAUUCAGGGCUGGUCCUACCUAAAUUCAGGGCGGAUGGGGGACACAAAGCUAAUCCAUUUAUUCCAUAUUUUGUAGAAUUUGUCUUUUCGAAUUUUUAAAAAGAAUGUCAGUUUUUUUUCAUUUUAAAUAUUUCGAAAACCACAUUAAACCAAUCCUCAAGUGUUGGCGGAGUUGGAUUUAACCACUUUCUGGUUAUUGAUUUUUUUUGUGUCCCCUCCCCGGACCGAGCCAGCAACCAAACCCAAGUACAAAUUUACAAAAUUGAUGUCAAAUUUUAUCUUAAAAACCUCACACAGAGUUUUAUGAAUUCCCAGCCAGUAAUUUUUUAAGUUAGGGCAGUCCCAAAAGAUGUGGUAAUGAUGUGCCUCUUCUGAUCCACAUCUUCUCCAGCAUUGCGCUGUCCCAUUUUUAUAUUUAAUUUGAGGGGUUUUGAAAAAUCUAAUAAUGUUCUUCUAACAGUGGUCUCUCCAAGAUAAAGAACUUGUUGAGUACCAAUGAAAAUUACAAAUCCUCUCCCAGUUCUCGUUUGUUGUACCCAUCCCUGAUUCCAAUUCCCAUUUAAUCUUAACAUUUUGAGUAGUAUCCUUCCUUGCUUGAAGGAGCACAUCAUAUAGUUUGGAGAUUGCCUUUCUCAGAGAACCAACAUAUGCUAAUUUAACUAUCUUAAAAAUUUCUGACUCAACCGUAUUUGGGUUUGGGAUAUUGCAAUGUUUGUUAAAAUAAUCCCUCAUUUGAAGAAACCUGAAGAAAUCUUAAGCCAUUUCUUAUUUGUAAAGACUGGAAACUCUGUAGUGUCCCUUCAUGUGUGAAGGAAUGGAAUGUUGACAAGGAACUAUCAAAGUAAAACAGGAAACAUGAGACACACACUGAGACAAGGACUUGACAAAGGGACGGGGAAAGAACAGACAUGAAAACAUAACACAGUCCUCGAGACACAAGGAACACAGAGGAGGCACAGUAACCAAACCUAAAGAUAACUUGGGGAGCAAGAAAUACAAAGGACUACACCAUUAGAAAGACUUCAUCAAAGAAUACUGAUAAUCCAAACAUAAACACUGGAUCAUCAGACCCAGAAGACGCCGUCACAUCACCUGAGUUUCAACUUCUCUCCGCUGGCUUUACGUACAUCUUAGAAUUGAUGUGGAGAUUUGACAGAAGCCCAAAGCUGCAGAGCAGAGAUGUUGACCUCUUAUAUGCCAGUUUGAAGCUCUGGAUCCUCAGGUGGAUCCUUCUGGCUUUUCCAAAGAUCAGGCAUAAAUCCAAAGGUGACUGUUUUGCCAUCACAUCCUCUCGACUGGAAGUGAGACACCCUUUAAUACAGUAUACUGACUCCUGGGUCACAGGGAAGAGGACAAAUAAGCUGAGGAGGCAUAAAUCAGAGAAACGAGAAAAGCAUUUCAUGUCCUUAAUUUCUUGGUGUGUGUACUCUUGACUUGUUUUUAUUUUAAUACCUAUUCUCUGUUUUUUGGUCUUUCAGUCAUUUAGUCUGCACUUUCCUCAUGUUUCCCAGUGCAUAUGUUUUAGCAUCGUUUCUCUUUCACUCAACCUAUAUUUCCUACAUUUUUCCUUCCUCUUUGGAAGCUACCCACCUUUCCUGCUGAUUUGUUUUCUUGCCAUUGUCACCACUCUCUUCACUUAUUUAUUUUCAUUUGUUUUCUCCCAUUGCAGAACUUGCAAUGGUCAAAUAGGGAUCAUGUUUUACUGUGUGAAUAAAGACACAAUUUGGCCCCAUGUUUCAAUAAUGAUUUUCUCAUGUUUUGAUUGA